Long non-coding RNA from Falco peregrinus (peregrine falcon), 453 nucleotides. RefSeq lists it as uncharacterized. NCBI's taxonomy places the organism in Eukaryota, Metazoa, Chordata, Aves, Falconiformes, Falconidae. The record is from RefSeq and is a predicted model, not a curated record. The transcript is spliced from 3 exons.
UGCACGCAAGGACAGACUGUCUGCAUCAGGGUGGUUUUAACCACAGGAGGCUACUGAGCCUCUGCACAUGAGCAGUGACAUAAAUGUGUCUGCAUAGGCUGUCCUGCAAGGAAAUAUUUAUCUCCAGGCUAUCAGAGGACUAAAGCUGCCGUUUCUGCAGUGUGGUUAUACACUGGCAGGUCUGGAAUUCCCCAUCUGCUGUGUGCUGUAAGUGUCAGUACUGCAGUACUGUAAACCAGAAAUUUGUGUGUAAAAGAGCUCUUCUGGAUGAGAAGUUAGUCAGAAGAUGGAAGUUCCAGAGCUGUGUGGUCUGAAAUGAGAUGCUGUUGGCUGGUCUUAGCUGCUCAGCCAAAGCCAAGGGAGGAAACCUCAGCAAAGCCAGCUGCGUAAGGUGAGCAACAGCACCCACACUAUGUGCACCAGUCACAAGUAUGACAGAUAAAGAAAUCGUUG